This 1327-nucleotide ribosomal RNA is filed under the name Limnonectes paramacrodon (lesser swamp frog). RNAcentral's name for it is "partial 16S large subunit ribosomal RNA". It matches the Rfam family "Bacterial large subunit ribosomal RNA", at positions 267 to 2516 of the family's 2925-position model. Lineage: Eukaryota; Metazoa; Chordata; Amphibia; Anura; Dicroglossidae. The record is from RNAcentral.
GCCUACAUUUUAGCCUAUUAUAAACCCCAUGUACACCACCCAAUAACAUUUUUAAAUAAAACAUUUCUUUAGUUAAGUACAGGCGAUCAAAAAACUUAUUAGCGCUUUAUCAUUAGUACCGCAAGGGAAAAAUGAAAUAGCUAUGAAAUAGCCUCAAAGCACAACAUAGCAGAGCUCACCCCUCGUACCUUUUGCAUCAUGAUUUAGUCAGUCUACAUCAAGCAAGAUAAAACCAAGUUUGAUCCCCCGAAACUAGACGAGCUACUUUUAAACAGCUUUAUAGAGCCAACCCAUCUCUGUUGCAAAAGAGCGGGAUGAUUUUUAAGUAGAGGUGAAAAGCCUACCGAGCCUAGAGAUAGCUGGUUACUUAAGAAAGGAAUUUUAGUUCAACUUCAAGUUCAUUAAUUUUAUCAACAAACACUAAAAACUUGAAAGCUACUCAAAUAAGGCACAGCUUAUUUGAUUAAGGAUACAGCCUACAAAAAGGGGUAAAAUUACACACACAGACCAAGUGGGCCUAAAAGCAGCCAUCUUUAAAAAAGCGUUUAAGCUUCCUCUCAAAUUUAACUUAAUUCUUUAAAACACCUUUAACCCUUUAUUACUAUUAAGUAGUUUUAUAUUAUUAUAAAAGCCUUUAUACUAAAACUAGUAACAAGAAAUUGAUUUUUCUCCUAAAUAUAAACAUAAACCAAAAUGGACAAACCAUUGGUAUUUAACGUCUAUAAGCCCACUAUAGUAACACACCAAGAAAAUUCUAUAGACACACACGUUAACCUAACACAAGAAUAUUCCAGGAAAGAUUAAAAGAAAAGGAAGGAACUCGGCAAAUUUCAACCCCGCCUGUUUACCAAAAACAUCGCCUCUUGAUUAAACAUAAGAGGUCUAGCCUGCCCAAUGACUUCUUUCAAUGGCCGCGGUACCCUGACCGUGCAAAGGUAGCAUAAUCAUUUGUUCUCUAAAUAAGGACUUGUAUCAACGGCAUCACGAGGGUUGUACUGUCUCCCUUUUUUAAUCAAUGAAACUGACCUCCCCGUGAAGAGGCGGGGAUUAAACUACAAGACGAGAAGACCCCAUGGAGCUUUAAACCCAAUAGUAACCUACAUUUACAUUACCCACAAAGCUGCAAAGAUUUUAUCUAUUGGUUUUAGGUUGGGGUGACCACGGAGUAAAACAAAACCUCCUUGACGAACGGUCUUAAUCCUAAUCCAAGAGCUACCGCUCUAAGAAUCAAAAAUUUGACGUAAAAUGAUCCACAAUUGAUCAACGAACCAAGUUACCCUGGGGAUAACAGCGCAAUCCAUUUCAAGAGCCCCUAUCAACAAAUGGG